Molecule: long non-coding RNA, 4684 nt
Filed under: Olea europaea (common olive)
Lineage: Eukaryota; Viridiplantae; Streptophyta; Magnoliopsida; Lamiales; Oleaceae
Description: long non-coding RNA (OEUR_LNC001894)
Source: RNAcentral
CAGUCAUUCAUGUCGACUGAUAAAAUUGGUUUUCAUCAUCGUCCGGGAGGUCGUUUGACAACAUGAUGUCUAACAACCUCCACCUUGGUGUCAAAGGACCUGCAAAGAAAAACGUUUUUCCAUUAGUGACACCUCUAACAGAAAAACCGAUAAAAUUGAAAUCAUUUACCUGUACCGAUAUUUAGAAGCUCUUUGCAACUUCUAAACUUUACCAGUGGCAGCACUUUCGUGCCCAUAUCUGAAGGAUUAUACUGUGUGAAUUUUUUCAAGUCUUACUACUUCUUGUGAUAUUAUAUCCCUAAUGAAGUGUAACCUAACAUCAAUAUGUUUAGUGCGUUCAUGAAAAACAGGAUUCUUACAUAGAUGUAUGGAUGACUGACUAUCAGAAUACACAACCACAUACUCAUUCAAGACACUCAGUUCAUGAAGUAGACCUCUAAGUCAUAGAGCCUCUUUAAUUGCUUCAGUGAUGGCAAUAUAUUCUGACUCUGUAGUGGAUAGUGCAACUAUGUGUUGUAACUGUGAUUUCCAACUAACACACGAAUUUGAUAAGGUGAAUACGUAAGAGGAAGUUGAUUUCCUACCAUCCCUAUCUCCUGCAUAGUCAGCAUCUACAAAACCCUUUAAUUUUACGCCUUCUUUAUUAGCACUAAAUUUUAGACCUACGUCACUUGUACCCUUCAAAUAUCUUAAAAGCCACUUUAAUGCUUCCCAAUGUUCAGGACCUGGAUUAGACAUGUACCUACUGAGAGUACUAAUAGCGAAUCCUAAGUCCGGUCUAGUGCAAACCAUCAAAUACAUUAUGGAACCAAUCACAUUUGAGUAUGGAAUUUUACUCAUGUAUUCCACUUCACGUUCAUUGUAGGGAGCUUGUUCUUUAGAUAGAACAAAAUAGUUUGCAAGAGGCAACGUGACAGGUUUGCAGUCACUCAUAUUAAACUUUUUCAACACCUUUGAUAUGUAUGGAGACUGAUGCAAGAAUACGAUGGAAGUUGACCUAUUUCAUUCUAUUUCCAUGCCUAGAAUCCUUUUAGCCUUUCCUAGGUCUUUCAUGUCAAAUUCUCCACUAAGAUCUGCUUUUAUAUUGUUUAUCCACUUAGGAGAUGAUCCAACUAAAAGCAUGUCUUCCACAUAGAGCAACAAAAACAAAUAAUUGUUAUCAGUCUCGUUGUGUUGAAAGUACAGGCAGUGAUUGAAUUUACUUCUUUGAAAUCCUAUAGUGAGUACAAAGGAGUCAAACCUCUUGUACCACUGUCUAGGUGAUUGCUUUAGACCGCAUAGGGCUCUUUUCAGAAAAUACACAUAAUCAGGUUUUAACUUGUCUUUAAAACCUUUUGGUUGAUUCAUAAAGAUUUGUUCAUCAAGCUCUCCAUGUAAAAAAAUGAUUUUUACAUCUAGUUGUUCAAGUUCCCAGUCAAAGAGCGCAACCAAUGCGAGCAUGACACUAAUAGUAGUGUACUUGACAACUGGUGAGAAAAUCUCGUUAUAAUCAACACCUUCUUUCUGUGUGUAACCCUUUGCUACUAACCUAGCCUUAAAUCUUAAGGGUUCUGUACUACUAGUACCUUCCUUAACCUUAAAGACCCACUUGCAAUCAACGAUUGAUUUAUUCUUAGGUCUCAGUACUAACUCCCAAGUUUGAUUCUUUUCUAGAGAACUCAUCUCUUCUUUCAUAGCCUCAAGCCAUUCCUUAGAUUGACCAAUAUUCAUAGCCUCUUCAAAAAUUUCUGGCUCCCUAUCAACUAGUUCUUCGUAACUAGCGUAUGCAAAAUCCAAUUCAGAUUCAUACCCAAACCUCCUAGGUUCUCUCGUUUGCCUUCUCUCUCUAUUUCUAACUAAGUUAUCGUUAGCUAAUGGAUUUUCUUCCUCAGGAUGCUCUUCUAUCACUACUUCAUUUUCUUCUUCAGGUUCUUGGACCUGAAUCUCCACCUCACUUGAAGUACUAGGUACUGAUGUGUUAAAUUUUCCUAACUCCACCUUAAACCGAUUUCUUUCUUCACUUGAUUCAGUUUCACUUAUAGGUUCGGUUUCGUUCUUUAGACAAGGCAUCUCAUUCUCAUUAAAUGUGAUAUCCCUGCUCACGAUGAUCUUAACUCCUUUUUGGCUUCUAUCCCAUAGCCUAUAGCCCUUAACCCCUUCGGGAUAUCCUAGAAAGACACAAUUCCUGGCUCUAGGUUCUAACUUUUCCUCACUUUGAUGAGAAAAGGCAGCACAGCCAAACGCUUUAAGCAUUGAGUAGUCACCCAAUUUUCCAGACCAUUUCUCAUGUGGAGUAUCACCAUUUAAUGCAGCCGAUGGAGUCAAAUUUAUUAGAUAACAGGCAGUGACAACGGCUUCACCCCAAAAUGACUUAGGAACCCCAGAACUUAACAUCAUGCAGCGCACUUUGUCUAGUAUGGUCCUAUUCAUUCUUUCUGAUACCCCGUUUUACUGGGGAGUAUAAGGAACCGUUUUGUGCCUUAUUAUUCCACUUUCUUUACGCAUCCUAUCGAAUUUAGCAUUACAAAAUUCUAGGCCGUUAUCUGUCCUUAAAAAUUUGAUCCUCUUGCUAGUUUGGUUUUCCAUUUGUUUCUUCCAAUUGUUAAAGUUAUGGAAGAUUUCAAUUUUGUCUUUCAAUAGAUAGACCCACACUUUCCUGGUGUAGUCAUCUAUGAUAGAUAGGAAAUACCUAUUCCCACCCGAUGUGAGAUUACUAGCAGAACCCCACAAAUCAAAAUGCACUAUUAUUCAAGCAUGCUUUUAGCGUUAUGCGUACUGGUGGAAAACGACACUCUAUGGUGCUUUCCAAGCACACAAUGAUCACAGAACGAUAGGUCAGACACACAGUCAUUACCAAAUGCACCUUUUUCAUUAAAUAGCUUAAGUCCUUUAAUGCUUACGUGUGCAAGCCUACUAUGCCACGUAUGUGUGUGAUCGAUUUUGGCGGAAGAGAUAGAGGAGUUUAAUCCUCUAAUCACUUCCCCAGUAGUGAUGUAAAUGUCGUUUUUCUUGAUUCCCUUAAUAGAGAUUAACGCACCCUUCAUCAUUUUAAACAUACCGUUUUCAAUUUUACCGGUGAAGUUGUCUUUCUCAAGUCUUCCUUCUGAAAUCAAAUUCCUAGAUAAUUUCGGAAUGUAUCUAACUUCCUUUAACACGUACACAAAGCCUGUGUUAAAUUUUAUCUUUAUGUCUCCAAUUCCAGCAAUUGUAUAGGCUAAGUUAUCACACAAAACUACUUGUCCAUCAUUAGAUUCUUGCAAGUUUUCAAAUCAGUUCUUUUCAGAUGUCACAUGAAAAGACGCACCAGAAUCUAAUAUCCAUUCAUGAAUGUGAGAAUUAGUAGUUAGAUUUAAUUCAGUAGUGUAUGCGAAUGGACUAGUGAUCACAUAGACUUCACCGUUUUUGGUAUCGGAGGUAGAGGAUAACACAUUUACCUCAUCCCUUUCCUUAACCUUCUGUUUUCCCUUUUCUUUAUGACAGUCUUUUAUAAAAUGCCCUGUGCCUCCACAGCCAUAGCAUUUUCUACCCUUAGUUCUAGACUUUGAUCUAGGUCUACCAUUCCCCUUCUUUUUCCAACUAUUACUACUUGAUUCGCCACUACUUUGGUAUCCAUCAUGACUAGCUUGCCUAAAUUGUGUUCUACCCUGCAUCAUAUGUAACUCUCCACUCCUCCUAUCCUGUUUUUCAGCCCUCAUUUCCAUUUCCUUACUCCUAAGAGAAUCUACGACAAUUUCAGGUGUUAACGUGUCCCUACCAUACUUAAUGGCAUUUUUAACUUCUUUAUAAGAGUCCGGGAUUGAAUUGAGCAAGAUAAUGGCCUUAUAGGUUUCAGACACGACUUCGUCGCAAUUGACAAUAUCUUGCACUAAUUUGUUAAAUACAUCUAAAUUGUCGUCGAGAUCCUUUGAAGGAUCCAUUUUAAAGCUGAAGAAUCGUUCGAGUAGGUAGAGUUUAUUCGGUGUAGAUUUAAGCAAGUAUAAGUCUUCUAGUCUUCUCCAAAGUUCUUUGGUGGUUUUUAGUUUUCCCACUUUUCUUAAGACAGCGUCAGAAAAGUAUAAUAUUAUUGAGGUAUAGGUAAGCUCAUCGGCUUCCUCUUUUUGUUCUUUUGAGAUAUCAGGUGCAAAAUUGCCUUCGAUGGCUUUUGACACCUUUUGUUGGACUAGUAUGCCUCUCAUCUUUUGUUGCCAGAUAGAGAAGUCCCCUUUACCAUUAAAAAUUCCCAAAUCAAAAUUAUGUGUUGUCAUUGUUAAAACGCUAAUUAAAUCACACGAAGUAGUAUUGGGAAGCGUGAUAAGGUAAUAUCUUAUUAAUUCUCAGCAAAAGUAACAGUGAACCUAAACGCUACGUCCACCAAGAAAUACCAAGCACUUUAAAUCAAAAGAACAAACACUCAAUUAAUGCAAGUAAUCCUAGUUCUAGCACAAGCAAUGGUUACCCCUUCACGGUAACCCCAAAACCUAAUGAUCACCCCACACGAUGAUCUUGAUAUUGCUGAAUUUAAAUGGAUUAAGCCAAUUUACCAGAGCAGACCUAUCUGAGUCCGUAGAGUGGAGAAAAACGAGCUUGCUGUUGAAUUUCAGUCGGCGUCGUACCAAAGGGCAAAAUCGUCCAACUUUUUCUGUGUAACCUGAAACACAAAACAAAGUAUAUCAGCGCGUUCAGGAGAUCGAAACAAGCAAGUUACCUGAAGACAGCGUCACCGGAC